UAUGGCUCAGAAUGAACGCUGGCGGCAUGGAUUAGGCAUGCAAGUCGAACGUGCUCCCUUCGGGGAGAAAGUGGCGAAAGGGUGAGUAACACGUGAGCAACCUGCCUCCGGAUCCGGAAUAAUCCAGGGAAACUUGGUCUAAAACCGGACGAAGACAUUUGGUCCGCAUGGUCUAAUGUUAAAAUAUUUAUAGUCCGGAGAGGGGCUCGCGGCCCAUUAGCUUGUUGGCGGGGUAAUGGCCCACCAAGGCUACGACGGGUAGGUGGUCUGAGAGGAUGGUCACCCACACUGGGACUGAGACACUGCCCAGACUCCUACGGGAGGCUGCAGUCGAGAAUCUUCCGCAAUGGGCGCCAAGCCUGACGGAGCGAUGCCGCGUGAGGGAUGAAGGCCUUCGGGUUGUAAACCUCUGUCAUCCGGGACGAAAACAAUGACGGUACCGGAAAAGGAAGCCACGGCUAACCACGUGCCAGCCGCCGC
RNAcentral lists this ribosomal RNA (480 nucleotides) under uncultured bacterium. RNAcentral describes it as "bacterial SSU rRNA". It matches the Rfam family "Bacterial small subunit ribosomal RNA", at positions 18 to 518 of the family's 1533-position model. The record is from RNAcentral.